This 1050-nucleotide ribosomal RNA is filed under the name uncultured Mycoplasma sp. Its description in RNAcentral is "bacterial SSU rRNA". It matches the Rfam family "Bacterial small subunit ribosomal RNA", at positions 202 to 1266 of the family's 1533-position model. Lineage: Bacteria; Bacillati; Mycoplasmatota; Mollicutes; Mycoplasmatales; Mycoplasmataceae. The record is from RNAcentral.
GAGGCGCCUUCGGGAGCCUCGCGCGGAAACGGGAAUAUGUCCUAUUAGGUAGUUGGCGGGGUAAAGGCCCACCAAGCCAAUGAUGGGUAGCUGGACUGAGAGGUUGAACAGCCGCAAUGGGAUUGAGAUAUGGCCCAUAUUCCUACGGGAAGCAGCAGUGAGGAAUUUUUCACAAUGGACGAAAGUCUGAUGGAGCAAUACCACGUGAGCGAUGAAGGUCUUCUGAUUGUAAAGCUCUUUUAUUUAGGAAAAAAAGCGCGCCAGGAAAUGGGCGCGCCUUGAUGGUACUAAUUGAAUAAGUGACAGCUAACUAUGUGCCAGCAGCUGCGGUAAAACAUAGGUCACAAGCAUUAUCCGGAUUUAUUGGGCGUAAAGGAAGCGUAGGCGGGGAGGUUGAUCCAUUGUUAAAGGCAUUUGCUCAACAAAUGUGUGCGAUGGAGAUCGCCUCCCUAGAGUUAAUCAGGGGGUACUGGAAUUCAAUGUGUAGCGGUGGAAUGCGUAGAUAUAUUGAGGAACACCAGAGGCUAAGGCGAGUACCUGGGAUAUAACUGACGCUGAGGCUUGAAAGCGUGGGGAGCAAAUGGGAUUAGAUACCCCAGUAGUCCACGCCGUAAACGAUGAGCAUUAGGUAUUUGACGUUACGUCGAGUGCUGUAGCUAACGCGUUAAAUGCUCCGCCUGGGUAGUAUAUAUGCAAAUAUGAAACUCAAAGAAAUUGACGGGGACCUGAACAAGUGGUGGAGCAUGUUGCUUAAUUCGAUAAUACACGAAAAACCUUACCAAGGCUUGUUAUCUACUGCAAAACUAUAGAAAUAUGGUGGAGUAUAUCAGUAAGACAGGUGGUGCAUGGCUGUCGUCAGCUCGUGUCUUGAGAUGUUUGGUUAAGUCCCGUAACGAGCGCAACCCUACUCUCUAGUUAAUUAGUUCUAGAGUGACUGAAUCGUAAGAUAUAGGAAGGAUGGGGCCAAGUCAAGUCAUCAUGCCCCUUAUGCCUUGGGCUGCAAACGUGCUACAAUGGUAGGUACAAUGUGUUGCAAUCUAGCGAUAGUGA